GCGCGGCCCGGGAAGGGGAAGUGGCGAGGGGCGGCACGACGCAGGGCUGCCCCUGGCCGCCUGGCCAAUGAUCGCUGGCCAGGCGGGGCUCGCGGUCGGCUCCCCGGGAGCGAGCGGGGCUGGGCGUGCCCACGGGUGACGCGCGGGCGGCGCAGGCCAAUGGGCGCGGGAUGGUGAGCGGGCGGGCCUCCAGGCCCGGGCUUUAGGACACGAACCCGAGGCCUGCGGGACAGACUGACGUGGGAUUGCAACGCAGAAGUCACAGCGCGGGGAUGGCGUUGGCGCGGGCCUGGAAGCAGAUGUCCUGGUUCUACUACCAAUACCUGCUGGUGACGGCGCUCUACAUGCUGGAGCCCUGGGAGCGGACUGUGUUCAAAGCUGAAUGCAGAACCCACUACAGAGUCUACUGGACCAUGGCUUAAAAAUGCUAAGCUGAAAAUUUCAGAAGUAAAGAAUUCAUAAAUUUUAAAUUGCAUGCUGUGAUGAAAUCUUGCUUUGCCUAGCCUGAGAUGUGAAUUCAUCCCUUUGUCUAGCGUAUGUGUAGUGUGUAUACUACCUGCGACUUAGUAGCCAUGUAGCCAUUUUGGUUAUGAGAGAGAGAGAGAGAGAGAGAGAGAGAGAGAGAGAGAGAGACUAUGACUUAUAUAACUCAUUACAAGACAUUGUUAUAAUUCUGUAUUAUAUUAAUUGUCAUUUAUCUCUCACUGUGUCUAACUUAUAAAUUAAACUUUAUCAUAGUUAUGUAUGUACAGGAAAAAACAAUAUAUGUAGGGUUUGGUACUAUCUGCGGAUUCAGGGAUCCACUGGGGGUCUUGGAAUGUAUCCCCUGGAUAUUGGGGGACUUCUGUAUAGAUUUUACACUUAAGAGCUUGUGUUGGCAUGUGGAUAAAUGCUACAGCAUCAAUGGUGUUAUGGUUUUUCUGUAUCAUGUUGCAGUAGUAAUAGUGUCCCAUAAACACCUAGGUGACGGCUUUCUUUAGGAUGGAGAAAUAAAUCAUGAAAUGAAGUGUAGUGCCUCUUUAGAUUUUUGCCUUUGAAGCUUUUGACUUUUCAUUGGAUUAAGUGACCAAGAGAUUUCAAUUUUUAAAGUACUGCUAAGAAAUACAACCAACUAGCAACUGUGAAGUAGUUGGAAUUUCAUAAAUUUAUUAAUAAUUAGUAAGCCUCACCCAGAACUAUUUUGUGGCUUUGGGAAAGAGACAUUCUAUUUUGUUACAUGGUUUGGGAAAGAGACAUUCUUCAAAAGUACACCGAACACAAUUAUCACUACUAGAAACCUAAAUCUUUUUUUUUUUUUAAAUAGAUUUUAUUGAUUUUUUACAGAGAGGAAGGGAGAGGGAUAGAGAGUUAGAAACAUCGAUGAGAGAGAAACAUCGAUCAGCUGCCUCCUGGGGAUCCUGCCUACUGGGGAUGUGCUCGCAACCAAGGUACAUGCCCUUGACUGGAAUCAAAUAUGGGACCCUUGAGUCUGCAGGGUGAUGCUAUCCGCUGAGCCAAACCAGUCAGGGCGAAACCUAAAUCUUACCCAAUAUUUAGUGCAGUGUUUCUCCACCUUUUGGCCCUUUAAAUACAGUUCCUCAUGUUGUGACCCAACCAUAAAAUUAUUUUCGUUGCUUCUUCAUAACUGUAAUGUUGCUACUGUUAUGAAUUGUAAUGUAAAUAUCUGAUGUUCAGGAUGGUCUUAGGCAACCCCUGUGAAAGCGUCGUUCGACCGCCAAAGGGAUCGCGACCCACAGGUUGAGAACCGCUGAUUUAGUGUAAGAGAAAUUUGUCUGGCUGUCUGAAAAAUGGCCUCUGUCUGAGUCUUGGACAGAGGAAGACUCUAGACCAGUGGUUCUCAACCUUGGCUGCACAUUAGAAUCACCUGGAAAUCUUUUUAAAAUCCUGAUUUCUGGGCCUCAUCCUCCGGAAAUUCUGUUUCUUUGUUAUGGGGUGAGGCCA
Molecule: RNA transcript, 1941 nt
Organism: Myotis myotis
Lineage: Eukaryota; Metazoa; Chordata; Mammalia; Chiroptera; Vespertilionidae
Gene: SPTSSA
Gene name: serine palmitoyltransferase small subunit A
Exons: 2
Source: RefSeq, a predicted model, not a curated record